This 104-nucleotide transfer RNA is filed under the name Microcaldota archaeon. RNAcentral describes it as "tRNA-Gln". It matches the Rfam family "tRNA". Rfam says of the family: Transfer RNA (tRNA) molecules are approximately 80 nucleotides in length. Their secondary structure includes four short double-helical elements and three loops (D, anti-codon, and T loops). Lineage: Archaea; Nanobdellati; Microcaldota. The record is from RNAcentral.
AGCCCCGUCGUCUAGCGGCCAAGGAUAAACUGUUCUGGCUUCAGCGCAGUUCCUUUAAGGAGGCUCUGGACCUCUUGACAGCGGUUCGAAUCCGCUCGGGGCUA